CGGGACGGGUGAGUAAUGUCUGGGAAACGUGCCUGAUGGAGGGGGGUAACUACUGGAAACGGGAGCUAAUACCGCAUAACGUCGCAAGACCAAAGAGGGGGACCUUCGGGCCUCUUGCCAUCGGAUGUGCCCAGAUGGGAUUAGCUAGUAGGUGGGGUAACGGCUCACCUAGGCGACGAUCCCUAGCUGGUCUGAGAGGAUGACCAGCCACACUGGAACUGAGACACGGUCCAG
Molecule: ribosomal RNA, 234 nt
Filed under: uncultured bacterium
Lineage: Bacteria
Description: partial 16S ribosomal RNA
Rfam family: Bacterial small subunit ribosomal RNA
Source: RNAcentral